Long non-coding RNA from Homo sapiens (human), 392 nucleotides. Ensembl annotates it as DOCK9 antisense RNA 1. Its record names the gene DOCK9-AS1. The record is from Ensembl. NCBI's taxonomy places the organism in Eukaryota, Metazoa, Chordata, Mammalia, Primates, Hominidae.
CAGCUGAUACAGAGGUGCCAUUUGUGACAUCUUAAUUCCAACAGAGAAGUGCCAUCACAGGUCCAGUGAAUUGUGAAUCUAUCACAGCUGGCAGAACACCUGGAAUUCACAGUGAUCUUUCUAUCAUGAAAUACUAAGAUGCUUGCCAAUCACUAAGACGACCUAAGCCUCAUGUGUCUGCCGACCAGGCUCAUUGUUGUGCAAAGCAGAUCACAAGCUGCCUCGCAAGCCUCCGGUGCCCAUGUGCUCCUCCCUGUCUUGGUUCCUAUUGCUCCUGAUUAUGUGUUAGUCCUCACUGUGCAGUUCAAAUCAAGAAGAGGCACUAAAAAUGGAACUGCUAAAAACACAUUUCCAGAUUAAAUCUGUGAACACAUUAAAAAUAUUAUAAACUA